This 647-nucleotide ribosomal RNA is filed under the name Staphylococcus aureus. RNAcentral describes it as "partial 23S ribosomal RNA". It matches the Rfam family "Bacterial large subunit ribosomal RNA", at positions 34 to 678 of the family's 2925-position model. Lineage: Bacteria; Bacillati; Bacillota; Bacilli; Caryophanales; Staphylococcaceae. The record is from RNAcentral.
UGGCACUAGAAGCCGAUGAAGGACGUUACUAACGACGAUAUGCUUUGGGGAGCUGUAAGUAAGCUUUGAUCCAGAGAUUUCCGAAUGGGGAAACCCAGCAUGAGUUAUGUCAUGUUAUCGAUAUGUGAAUACAUAGCAUAUCAGAAGGCACACCCGGAGAACUGAAACAUCUUAGUACCCGGAGGAAGAGAAAGAAAAUUCGAUUCCCUUAGUAGCGGCGAGCGAAACGGGAAGAGCCCAAACCAACAAGCUUGCUUGUUGGGGUUGUAGGACACUCUAUACGGAGUUACAAAGGACGACAUUAGACGAAUCAUCUGGAAAGAUGAAUCAAAGAAGGUAAUAAUCCUGUAGUCGAAAAUGUUGUCUCUCUUGAGUGGAUCCUGAGUACGACGGAGCACGUGAAAUUCCGUCGGAAUCUGGGAGGACCAUCUCCUAAGGCUAAAUACUCUCUAGUGACCGAUAGUGAACCAGUACCGUGAGGGAAAGGUGAAAAGCACCCCGGAAGGGGAGUGAAAUAGAACCUGAAACCGUGUGCUUACAAGUAGUCAGAGCCCGUUAAUGGGUGAUGGCGUGCCUUUUGUAGAAUGAACCGGCGAGUUACGAUUUGAUGCAAGGUUAAGCAGUAAAUGUGGAGCCGUAGCGAAAGC